AAGAAUGGAAACCAAAUCUCCAACUGACUAAGGUUAGUAAGACCUUGCACAACUUCGCAUGAAUGAUGAAGAAAAAAAAGGCCAAUAAACAUCAUCAGGUUCAGGGGCUAGCUCCGUGAUCCACUGUAUGGGGUUGAUUGAUUGUUGUAUGUGGAAAGCAAUGGCAGCUCCAUACCGAGAUUUGAAGGACACAAAGGCAGCCC
RNAcentral lists this unclassified non-coding RNA (203 nucleotides) under Hevea brasiliensis (rubber tree). The record is from RNAcentral. Lineage: Eukaryota; Viridiplantae; Streptophyta; Magnoliopsida; Malpighiales; Euphorbiaceae.